RNAcentral lists this ribosomal RNA (519 nucleotides) under uncultured bacterium. Its description in RNAcentral is "bacterial SSU rRNA". It matches the Rfam family "Bacterial small subunit ribosomal RNA", at positions 28 to 526 of the family's 1533-position model. The record is from RNAcentral.
GACGAACGCUGGCGGCGUGCCUAAUACAUGCAAGUCGAGCGGAUUAGGGUGAAAGCUUGCUUUCACCUUAGUUAGCGGCGGACGGGUGAGUAACACGUAGGCAACCUGCCUGCAAGACUGGGAUAACAUUCGGAAACGAAUGCUAAUACCGGAUACGCAGUUUUCUCGCAUGAGAGAACUGGGAAAGACGGCGCAAGCUGUCACUUGCAGAUGGGCCUGCGGUGCAUUAGCUAGUUGGUGGGGUAACGGCUCACCAAGGCGACGAUGCAUAGCCGACCUGAGAGGGUGAUCGGCCACACUGGGACUGAGACACGGCCCAGACUCCUACGGGAGGCAGCAGUAGGGAAUCUUCCGCAAUGGACGAAAGUCUGACGGAGCAACGCCGCGUGAGUGAUGAAGGUUCUCGGAUCGUAAAGCUCUGUUGCCAGGGAAGAACAGCCAGGCGAGUAACUGCGCUUGGAAUGACGGUACCUGAGAAGAAAGCCCCGGCUAACUACGUGCCAGCCGCCGCAGUAAAAC